Molecule: long non-coding RNA, 667 nt
Organism: Manacus vitellinus (golden-collared manakin)
Lineage: Eukaryota; Metazoa; Chordata; Aves; Passeriformes; Pipridae
Exons: 3
Source: RefSeq, a predicted model, not a curated record
UUUUAUAGGCAUUUUCUAUUCAAAAGCAAGCACAGGAGGGGAAGGUAAGGCAAAAGAGUAGAAAACACUUACACCAGCUUUUAGUUAAUAAAAGAACCCUAUUAUUUAGCUUAUACUACCAAAGGAAUUUGUCUAUAUCAAAAUUCAGCAUAAUAGAGAACGAUUUACCAAACAAAUUGGGAACUGAUUAAUAUAAAAUAUUAAUAUGAAAUAUCUUUAACAAGAUCACUGAAUCUCAGUCAUUUAAAACUUCUUUGGUUUAAAAGCUUUUGUGAAAUCAAAUUAAAUAUUUCCUUCCUGUCAUUUUCCAUCCAGUGAACAUUGAAACUUUGUGAACUACCAUAUCCUCUAAGUAUUAAGCAAAGAAGUGAGCAUUCAUUGCUGUGAGCAAACUGACCACAGCAGUUGUGAAACUGAGCCCUCCUUGCUGCUACUGCACUUUAUGAAUUUGUAUAUAGCAAGAAAAUAAGGGAAAAGACAUCCUGACCACAAUUACAGUGUACUUCUCUAAAAUUCAGAUCUCUCUGAAGCAAGUAGGAGCUGUCACCCCAUUCUUGUUCAGCUGCUGUUGAUGGAUAUGAGUGCCAUUCACAAACUGUUGGGCAAAAUAUACAGCAAUAAAGAAUAUGAAACUUUUGUCAGGUGCUGCAUUUUCAUAUGAGCUGAG